Molecule: ribosomal RNA, 465 nt
Filed under: uncultured bacterium
Lineage: Bacteria
Description: partial 16S ribosomal RNA
Rfam family: Bacterial small subunit ribosomal RNA
Source: RNAcentral
GACGAACGCUGGCGGCGUGCUUAACACAUGCAAGUCGAACGGAAAGGCCCCUUCGGGGGUACUCGAGUGGCGAACAGGUGAGUAACACGUGAGUAACCUGCCCUUGACUUCGGGAUAACUUCAGGAAACUGGGGCUAAUACCGGAUAGGAAUCCUUGCUGCAUGGUGGGGGUUGGAAAGCUUCGGCGGUUCUGGAUGGACUCGCGGCUUAUCAGCUUGUUGGUGGGGUAGUGGCUUACCAAGGCUUUGACGGGUAGCCGGCCUGAGAGGGCGACCGGCCACAUUGGGACUGAGAUACGGCCCAGACUCCUACGGGAGGCAGCAGUGGGGAAUAUUGCACAAUGGGCGGAAGCCUGAUGCAGCAACGCCGCGUGCGGGAUGACGGCCUUCGGGUUGUAAACCGCUUUCAGCAGGGGCGAAGCUUGUGGUGACGGUACCUGCAGAAGAAGCACCGGCUAACUACGUG